GAGUUUGAUCCUGGCUCAGGAUAAACGCUGGCGGCGCACAUAAGACAUGCAAGUCGAACGGAAGUCGUUGUAAUGAUGUGGACAUAGACAGAGAACUUGUUCGAAGAAAAUGAAAAUUGACUUACAACAAUGGCUUUAGUGGCGGACUGGUGAGUAACGCGUGAGCAACCUGCCUGUUAGAGGGGAAUAACAGUGAGAAAUCAUUGCUAAUACCGCAUAUGCCAUAACUAUCACAUGAUAGAAGUGGGAAAGGAGUAAUCCGCUAACAGAUGGGCUCGCGUCUGAUUAGAUAGUUGGUGGGGUAACGGCCUACCAAGUCUACGAUCAGUAGCCGGACUGAGAGGUUGAACGGCCACAUUGGGACUGAGAUACGGCCCAGACUCCUACGGGAGGCAGCAGUCGGGAAUAUUGCGCAAUGGAGGAAACUCUGACGCAGUGACGCCGCGUAUAGGACGAAGGUCUUCGGAUUGUAAACUAUUGUCGUUAGGGAAGAGAAAGGACAGUACCUAAGGAGGAAGCUCCGGCUAACUACGUGCCAGCAGCCGCGGUAAUACGUAGGGAGCAAGCGUUAUCCGGAUUUAUUGGGUGUAAAGGGUGCGUAGACGGGAGAUUAAGUUAGUUGUGAAAUCCCUCGGCUCAACUGAGGAACUGCAACUAAAACUGGUUUUCUUGAGUGUUGGAGAGGAAAGCGGAAUUCCUAGUGUAGCGGUGAAAUGCGUAGAUAUUANGAGGAACACCAGUGGCGAAGGCGGCUUUCUGGACAAUAACUGACGUUGAGGCACGAAAGUGUGGGGAGCA
Molecule: ribosomal RNA, 798 nt
Filed under: uncultured bacterium
Lineage: Bacteria
Description: bacterial SSU rRNA
Rfam family: Bacterial small subunit ribosomal RNA
Source: RNAcentral